UGCUGACUCCUGUCUAGGAGAUAGAAUUGAGUGGAUGUGUCAAGUUUAUCAUUGGGUGUCCACACUAAGUUUGGCAUCAAUGUGGUGACCUCCCGGAGCAGGGGACCACCAGGUUGCCUAAGGAGGGGUGAACCGGCCCAGGUCGGAAAUGGAGCAGGUCGAAACUCCCGUGCUGAUCAGUAGUGGGAUCACGCCUGUGAAUAGCCACUGCACUCUAGCCUGGGCAAACAUAGUAAGA
This is an unclassified non-coding RNA of Callithrix jacchus (white-tufted-ear marmoset), 238 nucleotides long. It matches the Rfam family "Metazoan signal recognition particle RNA". Rfam says of the family: The signal recognition particle (SRP) is a universally conserved ribonucleoprotein. It is involved in the co-translational targeting of proteins to membranes. The record is from Ensembl. Lineage: Eukaryota; Metazoa; Chordata; Mammalia; Primates; Cebidae.